CAGCAACUUGGGAGAAUGCUUCUUAUUUUAAUAAUAAUAUAUAUUAUUAUUAAACUUAAGUAUUCAUGAAAUUUGAAUAUAAUUCUAGGUAAAAAAUUGAUAAUGACAAAGUUUUAUCUAUUUGUCUUGACCAAAUCUUGUGCCAGCAGUCGCGGCAACACAAGGAAGACAAGUGUUAUUCAUCUUAAAUCGGUUUAAGGGGUACCUAGACGGUAAAUUACGCCAUAGUAGGAACGUUUUUACUAGAGUUAUACAUGCAUGGGGAUUGUGUCAGUAUUACCAGAGUAGAGAUGAAAUUUUUUGAUACUGUUAAGACUGGUAAAGGCGAAAGCAAACCUUUAUAUAUUAACUGACGUUGAGGGACGAAGGCUUGGGGAGCAAACAGGAUUAGAUACCCUAAUAGUCCAGGCAGAGAAUUAUGAAUGUCAUAGAUUAUAU
RNAcentral lists this ribosomal RNA (438 nucleotides) under Cryptothelium purpurascens. Its description in RNAcentral is "mitochondrial SSU rRNA". It matches the Rfam family "Bacterial small subunit ribosomal RNA", at positions 379 to 828 of the family's 1533-position model. The record is from RNAcentral. Lineage: Eukaryota; Fungi; Ascomycota; Dothideomycetes; Trypetheliales; Trypetheliaceae.